AGAGUUUGAUCAUGGCUCAGAAUAAAUGCUAUUGGUAUGCUUAACACAUGCAAGUUGAAUGUUUAAAUUUUUAAACAUAGCGAACGGGUGAGUAACGCGUGAAUUAUCUACCUUUUAAUUCAGGAUAAUUAUUUUUAAUAAAAAUACUGAAUAAUUUCAAUAAAGUUUUAAUAACGUUAAAAGAUGAGUUUGCGUAAGAUUAGGUAGUUGGUAGUUUAAAAGACUACCAAGCCGACUAUCUUUAGCUGGUUUGAAAGAAUGAUCAGCCACAUUGGGACUGAGACACGGCCCAAACUUUUUUAAAGGCAGCAGUGGGGAAUUUUGGACAAUGAGCGAAAGCUUGAUCCAGCAAUACCAAGUGAGUGAAGAAGGCUAAUUAGGUUGUAAAGCUCUUUCAUUAAGGAGGAAAAUGACAGUACUUAAAAAAGAAGUUCCGGCUAAUACCCGUGCCAGCAGCCGCGGUAAUACGGGAGGAGCGAGCAUUAUUCGGAAUGAUUAGGCGUAAAGGGUUUGUAGGUGGUUUUUUAAGUUGAAAAAAACAAAUUAAAGCUCAACUUUAUAAAUUUUUUCAAAACUGAAAAACUUGAGUAUAAAUAGAGGAUAAUGGAAUUUCUAUUGGAGGGAUAAAAUAUGUUGAUAAUAGAAGGAAGAUCAAAAGCGAAGGCAAUUAUCUGGGUAUAUACUGACACUGAGAAACGAAAGCUUGGGUAGCGAACGGGAUUAGAUACCCUAGUAGUCC
This 739-nucleotide ribosomal RNA is filed under the name uncultured bacterium. Its description in RNAcentral is "partial 16S ribosomal RNA". It matches the Rfam family "Bacterial small subunit ribosomal RNA", at positions 8 to 796 of the family's 1533-position model. The record is from RNAcentral.